RNAcentral lists this ribosomal RNA (606 nucleotides) under fungal sp. TZ-2015b. RNAcentral describes it as "eukaryotic LSU rRNA". The stretch from base 166 to 319 matches the Rfam family "5.8S ribosomal RNA". Lineage: Eukaryota; Fungi. The record is from RNAcentral.
GGGGCGGGUGAUAUCGAGAGUGUCUUCAUUGACCUCUCACCCUUCACAUCCACAUACACCUGUGCACCGUUUGGCUCUUUUAAAAGACGCAAGUCUGCAAAGAGAGUCAUCAAUUUUAUACAUACCCCAGUCUUAUGAAUGUAACAGUUUUAAUAAACAUAAUAAAACUUUUAACAACGGAUCUCUUGGUUCUCGCAUCGAUGAAGAACGCAGCGAAAUGCGAUAAGUAAUGUGAAUUGCAGAAUUCAGUGAAUCAUCGAAUCUUUGAACGCACCUUGCGCUCCUUGGUAUUCCGAGGAGCAUGCCUGUUUGAGUGUCAUGAAACUCUCAACCUUCAACUUUUUUAUUAAGGCUGAAGGCUUGGACUUGAGCGCUGCUGGUUUUCACUAACCGGCUCGCUUGAAAUGAAUUAGCAGAUCCUUUUUGUAAUCGGUUCCACUCGACGUGAUAAGUAUUUCGCCGAGGACAUACGAAAGUAUGGCCGAGAUAAGAGAAGUCUUUUAGAUCCGCUUCUAAUUCUUAGAUCAAGCUUGCUUGACUAAACCCCAUUUUAUGAUCUGGCCUCAAAUCAGGUAGGACUACCCGCUGAACUUAAGCAUAUCAAAA